ACCCUUUUGUUGUUCAUAGCAUGAUGAUUGGGUGUUCAGGCUCUCCUGUCCCAUGUGCCUCCCUCAAAUCUUGUUACAAUGUCAGCACAUUACCCAUCUGAAG
Molecule: small nucleolar RNA, 103 nt
Organism: Hyaena hyaena (striped hyena)
Lineage: Eukaryota; Metazoa; Chordata; Mammalia; Carnivora; Hyaenidae
Product: small nucleolar RNA U13
Exons: 1
Source: RefSeq, a predicted model, not a curated record